RNAcentral lists this ribosomal RNA (253 nucleotides) under uncultured bacterium. Its description in RNAcentral is "partial 16S ribosomal RNA". It matches the Rfam family "Bacterial small subunit ribosomal RNA", at positions 524 to 776 of the family's 1533-position model. The record is from RNAcentral.
UACGGAGGGUGCGAGCGUUGUCCGGAAUCACUGGGCGUAAAGGGCGCGUAGGCGGCGCGGGAAGUCCGUGGUGAAAGCCCGAGGCUCAACUUCGGGUCGGCCAUGGAUACUCCUGGGCUUGAGCACUGUAGAGGCAGGUGGAAUUCCGGGUGUAGCGGUGGAAUGCGUAGAGAUCCGGAAGAACACCGGUGGCGAAGGCGGCCUGCUGGGCAGUAGCUGACGCUGAGGCGCGACAGCGUGGGGAGCAAACGGG